RNAcentral lists this ribosomal RNA (1379 nucleotides) under uncultured bacterium. Its description in RNAcentral is "16S ribosomal RNA". It matches the Rfam family "Bacterial small subunit ribosomal RNA". The record is from RNAcentral.
UUCGCCCUUAGAGUUUGAUCCUGGCUCAGGACGAACGCUGGCGGCGCGCCUAACACAUGCAAGUCGAACGAGCGAGAGAGAGCUUGCUUUCUCGAGCGAGUGGCGAACGGGUGAGUAACGCGUGAGGAACCUGCCUCAAAGAGGGGGACAACAGUUGGAAACGACUGCUAAUACCGCAUAAGCCCACGGCUCGGCAUCGAGCAGAGGGAAAAGGAGCAAUCCGCUUUGAGAUGGCCUCGCGUCCGAUUAGCUAGUUGGUGAGGUAAUGGCCCACCAAGGCGACGAUCGGUAGCCGGACUGAGAGGUUGAACGGCCACAUUGGGACUGAGACACGGCCCAGACUCCUACGGGAGGCAGCAGUGGGGAAUAUUGCACAAUGGGGGAAACCCUGAUGCAGCGACGCCGCGUGGAGGAAGAAGGUCUUCGGAUUGUAAACUCCUGUUGUUGAGGAAGAUAAUGACGGUACUCAACAAGGAAGUGACGGCUAACUACGUGCCAGCAGCCGCGGUAAAACGUAGGUCACAAGCGUUGUCCGGAAUUACUGGGUGUAAAGGGAGCGCAGGCGGGAAGACAAGUUGGAAGUGAAAUCCAUGGGCUCAACCCAUGAACUGCUUUCAAAACUGUUUUUCUUGAGUAGUGCAGAGGUAGGCGGAAUUCCCGGUGUAGCGGUGGAAUGCGUAGAUAUCGGGAGGAACACCAGUGGCGAAGGCGGCCUACUGGGCACCAACUGACGCUGAGGCUCGAAAGUGUGGGUAGCAAACAGGAUUAGAUACCCUGGUAGUCCACACUGUAAACGAUGAUUACUAGGUGUUGGAGGAUUGACCCCUUCAGUGCCGCAGUUAACACAAUAAGUAAUCCACCUGGGGAGUACGACCGCAAGGUUGAAACUCAAAGGAAUUGACGGGGGCCCGCACAAGCAGUGGAGUAUGUGGUUUAAUUCGACGCAACGCGAAGAACCUUACCAAGUCUUGACAUCCUGCGACGGUUCUGGAAACAGAACUUUCCUUCGGGACGCAGAGACAGGUGGUGCAUGGUUGUCGUCAGCUCGUGUCGUGAGAUGUUGGGUUAAGUCCCGCAACGAGCGCAACCCUUAUGGUCAGUUACUACGCAAGAGGACUCUGGCCAGACUGCCGUUGACAAAACGGAGGAAGGUGGGGAUGACGUCAAAUCAUCAUGCCCUUUAUGACUUGGGCUACACACGUACUACAAUGGCGUUAAACAAAGAGAAGCAAGACCGCGAGGUGGAGCAAAACUCAGAAACAACGUCCCAGUUCGGACUGCAGGCUGCAACUCGCCUGCACGAAGUCGGAAUUGCUAGUAAUCGCAGAUCAGCAUGCUGCGGUGAAUACGUUCCCGGGCCUUGCACUCACCGCCCGUCA